Molecule: long non-coding RNA, 1610 nt
Filed under: Homo sapiens (human)
Lineage: Eukaryota; Metazoa; Chordata; Mammalia; Primates; Hominidae
Description: HSALNT0342653
Source: RNAcentral
UUUGGAGGAUAUAAGGUUUACUUCUAAGGAGAUAAAAAGCAAUUGAUGCUUCCUCAAAAUAAAAAAGUUGACUCCAGCCAUGUUUUUAUUUGUUGAGAAAUAUUCUAUAUCUACACUAUGGGAUACAGACUAACAGUUAUUUACCUGUCUAUUGAGUACUUGUCACCUAGGAGUCAUCAGUAAGUUGCAUCCAUUAAACAAAGAAAAGUCAUUCAACCAGCCAUCUGGAGACAACAUGAGCAAAAAAGAAGAGCAGGAAGCGGGCAAGAAGGGAAACUGUCCUAGAAAGAGAGUAAAGAAGACCAAAGUGAUCAGACAACUAAAUUUGCUCAAAAGCAUGUGCCAGUCCUAGAAGAUAUAUACAGUGGUCUUUUGGAAGUGGGGAUGUUCUUGUAGAGACCAGGUUUGAUGUUACUGAAGAGCAAAGGACGAGAAACUGAAAAAAAAAAAGAACACAUUGAAAUAACAUUUUAUUCCUGCAACCCUGACUUCUGAUGAAAACAGGAUGGGCAAAGGUUAACACUGAGGAGAAACUGCUGGAAGUAGAAUCCAAAUUAAGUAAGAGAAGAAACAGAGACCAGAUCCAGGUCCCCACUUGAAUCACUAUAAUUAUUGAAAAUAGCAGCUGAUACGUACCAAUAUAAAACUGAAGACUUGCUAUGACCCAGGAACUCUGGGAAGCAUGUUAUGUAAUUGCAUCUGCCUUCCUUGCUGGACUCUAAGCUCCUUGAGGACAAAGAUGUAUCCAUUGUGCCACUUCUACAUUCUCCAAGCCUAGCAGAGAACCAAGAACUAAGGGCUCAAAAACAUGUGUUGAAUUAAUUAAGAAUAUCACAGCAAAUCCUCUGAAAAACUCAGAGAUAAGUGACAUCAUCAUCCUUAUUUUAUAGAUGACAAACCUGAAAUUUGGGUCAAGAACACAGAGCCUGUGGGUGACAAACAGCAAUCCAAACCAACAAUCAGAUUCCCAAACUUGAAAACUCAUCUACUCUGCCUCACUGAUCAGUUUGUUUGCCCAGUUUCACCAUAAAAGAGUAGGUAAGAUGGGGAGUGAGGAGAGAGACACAAGGAAAAACAUCUCUUGCUUGAGACACCCUCUUCUUUCUUACUCACUUGCCACACAUUCUUUAAGGCUUAUUUCCAGCCCAAAAUUCUCCAAGAAAUCUUUUUGGACCAUACAGCUCUUUUUGUUUCUUCUGAAUACCAGCAGCCCUUAAUAUCCAUUGAAAAGAAUUAAAAAACUACCCCAGCUCUCCUGCAUAGCUCAUUCUUGUUAAGUGUAUGGAGUCCUCUGAAUUUCCCAAAAGCAUGAUAAGGUCCUAAGGGCAAGGUACCCAAUUAUUUUCCCUGUUUGCGGAACAGCACACAGCACAAAAAUGAACACAUGGUUUAGGUUCUUUGUAACUACCUAAGGUCAGAUCAGCUAGAGUGACUAGUUAAUGAUAUACAUAAUAUCAGUAUCAGACCAGGAAUAUCCUUCCUCCUCUCAUUUGUAAAAUUCUCUCAAAUAUCACCCAUUAAAACUGUGGACUUCUUCAUCCUUUUUGUGUUCAUUUAUCUAAAGUGCUAGACAAGCCAGGAGAAUGCCCUGGCCAAAGAAAAUUAAAGGA